CUGCUGGGCCAUCACUGACGCUCAUGGACGAAAGCCAGGGGAGCGAAAGGGAUUAGAUACCCCCUGUAGUCCUGGCCGUAAACGAUGAACACUAGGUGUCGGGGGAAUCGACCCCCCUCGGUGUCGUAGCCAACGCGUUAAGUGUUCCGCCUGGGGAAUACGCACGCAAGUGUGAAACUCAAAGGAAUUGACGGGGGCCCGCACAAGCGGUGGAGUAUGUGGUUUAAUUCGAUGCAACGCGAAGAACCUUACCAGGGUUUGACAUCCUGCGAAUCUCUUGGAAACAGGAGAGUGCCUUCGGGAACGCAGUGACAGGUGGUGCAUGGCUGUCGUCAGCUCGUGUCGUGAGAUGUUGGGUUAAGUCCCGCAACGAGCGCAACCCACGUCUUUAGUUGCCAGCAUUUAGUUGGGCACUCUAGAGAGACUGCCGGUGAUAAACCGGAGGAAGGUGUGGAUGACGUCAAGUCAUCAUGCCCCUUACAUCCUGGGCUACACACGUACUACAAUGCUACGGACAAAGGGCAGCAAGUUCGCGAGGACAAGCAAAUCCCAUAAACCGUGGCUCAGUUCAGAUCGUAGGCUGCAGCUCGCCUACGUGAAGGCGGAAUCGCUAGUAAUCGCAGGUCAGCAUACUGCGGUGAAUACGUUCCCGGGCCUUGUACACACCGCCCGUCACACCAUGGAAGUUGGCCACGCCCGAAGCCGUUACUCCAACCCUUGUGGAGGAGGACGUCGAAGGUGGGGCUGAUGACUGGGGUGAAGUCGUAACAAGGUAACC
This 778-nucleotide ribosomal RNA is filed under the name uncultured Synechococcus sp. Its description in RNAcentral is "bacterial SSU rRNA". It matches the Rfam family "Bacterial small subunit ribosomal RNA", at positions 726 to 1501 of the family's 1533-position model. Lineage: Bacteria; Bacillati; Cyanobacteriota; Cyanophyceae; Synechococcales; Synechococcaceae. The record is from RNAcentral.